UCCAGACUCCUACGGGAGGCAGCAGUGGGGAAUAUUGCACAAUGGGGGAAACCCUGAUGCAGCGACGCCGCGUGAGCGAUGAAGUAUUUCGGUAUGUAAAGCUCUCUCAGCAGGGAAGAAAAUGACGGUACCUGACUAAGAAGCCCCGGCUAACUACGUGCCAGCAGCCGCGGUAAUACGUAGGGGGCAAGCGUUAUCCGGAUUUACUGGGUGUAAAGGGUGCGUAGACGGGAUAACAAGUUAGUUGUGAAAACCCUCGGCUCAACUGAGGAACUGCAACUAAAACUAUUAGUCUUGAGUGCAGGAGGGGGAAGUGGAAUUCCUAGUGUAGCGGUGAAAUGCGUAGAUAUUAGGAAGAACACCAGUGGCGAAGGCGACUUUCUGGACUGUAACUGACGUUGAGGCACGAAAGUGUGGGGAGCAAACAGGAUUAGAUACCCUGGUAC
RNAcentral lists this ribosomal RNA (446 nucleotides) under uncultured bacterium. Its description in RNAcentral is "bacterial SSU rRNA". It matches the Rfam family "Bacterial small subunit ribosomal RNA", at positions 330 to 793 of the family's 1533-position model. The record is from RNAcentral.